AAUAAUUUUAUAAGUAUCCAUAAGUUGGUAUGAAAGUCUAAAAAAGGAGACUAUAGGAAGUAUGAGUUUACUAAAAGGAAAUAAUUUUGCAGAUGAUUCUGUUUGACAUCAUACUUACUGAUAUAUAAUCUCAUAUUGAAUUAAAAUAUAAAAGUUUUGAAACUUUUAUGAAAAGAAAAUAUUAAGAUAUAAAAUAUUUGAUAGUUAUCUUUCACUAAGAGUAGAUUUGGAGGCCUCUUACUUAAACAAAAACAAUCACCAAAUAGUGAAAUAAUAAAUAAAAUGGCAACUUGAUUAAGUAUAUAUAAUAUCUUAAUAAUUGAAUGGAAUAUUCUUUAAUAAAAGAAUGCAUAUUUGCACAUGGAGGGGAUAAUAAGAAUCAAAAGAAAUAAAAAUCAUCAUAGUGUUGUAAAAUUUAAGUAUAAUUUUAUGAGAAAAUUAUACAAACUAAUAAGUUUAGUACAACUUGUUAAAGUAAAAUCAUUAAAAAGUUCCUAAAUAUCUUAAAAGGACUAAAACGGCUUGGUUUAUUCAUUAAGUUUAGCCAAUUGUACUAGAAGGAUAAUUAUAUUAAGAAUGCAUAAAGUAUGGAAAUAAAAUGGUUUAAAUUUAUGAGUAUAGAGUUGUGGCUAUAACCAAUACCAAUUAUUUCUUAAAAUGACAAAAAUGGAACAAUAAUGUCUUUAGCAUAUAAAUGAUAUGCAAAUGAAAAGUUUAGACAUAUUAGCCUAUCAAGUGAUUCUCUAAAUGUUAGCCUAUGAAGUGAUUAUAUUAGAUAUCAACUCAACUAUGGAUAAUUAUCAUAAAUGAAAAUUAAAUUACAAGAUAUUUGAUUAGUAGUACUACAAGUAGAAGGAGUUUAAACCCUUAAUAUUAGACACUAAUAAUGGGAACCCAAUGUUAAAUUAGUAACUUCUAAUUACAAAGUUUCAUAGAUAAAAACAAGUUAUUAUUAUGUGCUUGUAAACACUAGUAAAACUCAUUCAAAUUUUAGAAACAAAUGUGGUUCAUUGCAUGGAAGAAUGAGAUUUUGUACUCUUAAUAGAGUUCAUUAUUUAAAUGACUAAAGCAAUGGAGACAUCAUGGAAACUUUACUUAUAUAAACAUAGAAGUGGUGCCACUUCAACAAGAAGAAUUAGGGUUUCUCUUGUAAAUGUUUAUGAUUGGAUAAGCAAUGGUCAUAAUAGUGCUAAAGUGGUUAUAAAACUCUUAUAGAAGAAAAAGUAAGUAUUAUGUGUUUUAUAUUUUCAAUUCUAAUACUAAGAGUUGAAGUUUAAUUUGCAAACACCAUUAAUUUCAUUAAAAUUUUAAGGUAUAACACUAAUUGAAGGCUUAUAUUGAGAUAUACUUUCUUGUAUUCACAAUAUUAUUUGUGUGAAAGUUUAAAGAUUAAGCACCAACAUUCAAAAUUAUUGGGGGAUUGUUAAUAGUUU
This 1433-nucleotide long non-coding RNA is filed under the name Durio zibethinus. RNAcentral describes it as "long non-coding RNA (DZIB_LNC002097)". Lineage: Eukaryota; Viridiplantae; Streptophyta; Magnoliopsida; Malvales; Malvaceae. The record is from RNAcentral.